CCUACGGGAGGCAGCAGUGGGGAAUAUUGCACAAUGGGGGAAACCCUGAUGCAGCCAUGCCGCGUGUGUGAAGAAGGCCUUCGGGUUGUAAAGCACUUUCAGUAGGGAGGAAGGUAGUGUAGUUAACACCUGCAUUAUUUGACGUUACCUACAGAAGAAGCACCGGCUAACUCCGUGCCAGCAGCCGCGGUAAUACGGAGGGUGCGAGCGUUAAUCGGAAUUACUGGGCGUAAAGCGCAUGCAGGCGGCCUGUUAAGUCAGAUGUGAAAGCCCGGGGCUUAACCUCGGAAUUGCAUUUGAAACUGGCAAGCUUGAGUCUCGUAGAGGGGGGUAGAAUUCCAGGUGUAGCGGUGAAAUGCGUAGAGAUCUGGAGGAAUACCGGUGGCGAAGGCGGCCCCCUGGACGAAGACUGACGCUCAGGUGCGAAAGCGUGGGGAGCAAACAGGAUUAGAUACCCGGGUAGUC
Molecule: ribosomal RNA, 465 nt
Filed under: uncultured bacterium
Lineage: Bacteria
Description: bacterial SSU rRNA
Rfam family: Bacterial small subunit ribosomal RNA
Source: RNAcentral